RNAcentral lists this ribosomal RNA (393 nucleotides) under uncultured nitrite-oxidizing bacterium. Its description in RNAcentral is "bacterial SSU rRNA". It matches the Rfam family "Bacterial small subunit ribosomal RNA", at positions 521 to 916 of the family's 1533-position model. The record is from RNAcentral.
UAAUACGAAGGUGGCAAGCGUUGUUCGGAUUCACUGGGCGUACAGGGUGUGUAGGCGGUUUGGUAAGCCUUCUGUUAAAGCUUCGGGCCCAACCCGGAAAGCGCAGAGGGUACUGCCAGGCUAGAGGGUGGGAGAGGAGCGCGGAAUUCCCGGUGUAGCGGUGAAAUGCGUAGAGAUCGGGAGGAAGGCCGGUGGCGAAGGCGGCGCUCUGGAACAUACCUGACGCUGAGACACGAAAGCGUGGGGAGCAAACAGGAUUAGAUACCCUGGUAGUCCACGCCCUAAACUAUGGAUACUAAGUGUCGGCGGGUUACCGCCGGUGCCGCAGCUAACGCAUUAAGUAUCCCGCCUGGGAAGUACGGCCGCAAGGUUGAAACUUAAAGGAAUUGACGG